Molecule: long non-coding RNA, 341 nt
Organism: Gigantopelta aegis
Lineage: Eukaryota; Metazoa; Mollusca; Gastropoda; Neomphalida; Peltospiridae
Exons: 3
Source: RefSeq, a predicted model, not a curated record
CCCGUUUUGUGUCCCAGUACUGGUGUGAUAGUUUGUGUAGUUCCCGGGAACGCCAUUAGCGAAACUUGUGAAAACAGUUCGCACUAUCGUUUGCCUCGUAGGCUGGGCCUUAUCCGGAGACUGGCUUGGCGGAGGGAAUCAUGCUAGGUUUUGGCUGCGGGUUGCACUAUCACCCGAUUAGUUCAAGCACACUGAAGUGAAAUCACUUGAGACAUCUCGUCUGAACAUGCGAGGGUGGGCUAAUGGUUACUGACAUUCUCACAGAGCCGUUAGAACUCGCUCUGGGUGGGAAUCAGUACCGGGAUGUGAACCCAGAACCUGCCAGCCUUCAAGACGAUGAU